Molecule: ribosomal RNA, 374 nt
Filed under: uncultured eukaryote
Lineage: Eukaryota
Description: partial 18S ribosomal RNA
Rfam family: Eukaryotic small subunit ribosomal RNA
Source: RNAcentral
CAAUAGCGUAUAUUUAAGUUGUUGCAGUUAAAAAGCUCGUAGUUGGAUUUCGGUUAAGAGCGACCGGUCCGCCGUUUGGUGUGCACUGGUUGGUUUUAACUUCCUGUAGAGGACGUGCUCUGGGUUUAACGACCUGGACUCGGAGUCUACGUGGUUACUUUGAAAAAAUUAGAGUGUUCAAAGCGGGCUUACGCUUGAAUAUUUCAGCAUGGAAUAACACUAUAGGACUCCUGUCCUAUUUCGUUGGUCUCGGGGCGGGAGUAAUGAUUAAGAGGAACAGUUGGGGGCAUUCGUAUUUCAUUGUCAGAGGUGAAAUUCUUGGAUUUAUGAAAGACGAACUUCUGCGAAAGCAUUUGCCAAGGAUGUUUUCAUUA